UCGCAAAUAAAUUCAUCUCUAAAACUCUCUUUCCUUGUAGUGUGGGGCAAGCUAGGGAAUUUGGGAUCCCCAGAAAACUUGCUUAAUCAAGACAUAGGGCAGAUCAUCAACUUGCUCGAAAGAGAUUUGAAUGCAUGCACGAGUGUGCCACCAACAUUGGUCUAGCAAAAGCAAAAGCAUUAGAAGGACAUUGACCUGGAUAGGGAUGUAGUAUUGAGCUAUAGUAAAAGAGUGGAGUGCUAGGCUAUGAUAAAGGUGAAGCAUUAGGCUACAGUAAGGGUGCAACAUUAGGUUGCAGUAGAAGAUC
This 307-nucleotide long non-coding RNA is filed under the name Elaeis guineensis (African oil palm). RNAcentral's name for it is "long non-coding RNA (EGUI_LNC078955)". The record is from RNAcentral. Lineage: Eukaryota; Viridiplantae; Streptophyta; Magnoliopsida; Arecales; Arecaceae.